Molecule: long non-coding RNA, 2464 nt
Filed under: Gallus gallus (chicken)
Lineage: Eukaryota; Metazoa; Chordata; Aves; Galliformes; Phasianidae
Source: RNAcentral
CUUAUUUUCUCAGAUCUUUGAUCUUUUGUACCUACAAGGCUACAAUACUUUCUGCUGUAAUUUAAGAGGUGUUUUCAGUCUACAGCAUGUUUGUAAUACUCCUCAAAAGCAUUUGCUUCCUCAUUUGUAAGUACAGAGAUGUAAAUUUGCAGUUCCUCAUGUUAACUUUUUCUUGUAUGACUUUUGCUGUGUUUCUAACAACAGCAACAACAAGCAGCUCCAGUGGUCAUGCUUUUUCAACAUCUGUACCAGCUGCAGCUAUUCUGGGCAGAACAGGAGUUGCAGAGGUACCCAUUCUCUUCAAGAACCACCUUACAGUGACUACCCUGCUUUUUGACUGCAUACUAUUAAUGUGGAGUCCCCAUUGUAUUCUUCUUCAACUUCCUUUUCGCUGCCAAGAGAAACCCAUGGUUUGGAGACAGGAGGCUUAUAAGCACAGACAUCUUGAGUUUCCUCUUUCUCCUCUUCGCUGUCAAUUUCUUCUGCAGUUUCUGGAGGCUGUGACAUCAAACAGUUAUCCUUCAGAGAAAUGUUCUGGCUUGCAAAGCACGUCAGAUAUUAAAGAACAUGACAGCAACCCCGAAAUAUUUUUGAGACAAGAUUCUGAAAUGUUUGUAGAUUGAAUAAUGCUGUGGUAUUUUUCCUUACCUUCAGAAAGUUUUCUUUGGCUUCCUCAGAAGCAACGAGUGCCGCUCUGUGCCUGUUCUUCUAUAAUCAUCCAUGACAAUUAACAAAAUGUAUGACACGUCUGGUACACCCUGCAUAUACCAGGUGCUCUGCAUUGGAGAGAAGCCGUAAGGAAUCUGUCAUCUUGUGUACGCUGCAAGAUUCCGUGCACCGAAAACUUCCCCUUACCAUUACCUGCUCACACCUGCUUAGGACAAUUAACAUGCAAAUCAUGUUAUGUGCAGAGGUGAGAAAUGGACAAAGCUCACUGAUGUUGUAUGGUAGCAGAGCUGACAGGUGUGUGGGUAGACCAGGUUAUUACAUUCUUCAUAUCUGCAAUACUUUACGCACCAGGUUGUUUUUGUUUUCCUUUUGAGGCUCGCUUGGCUUUUUCACCUCUCUGUUUCUUUGCUGAGGUUUUUGGACUUUUCAAGGUGGUCUUGCCAGAUCUGAGAUUUUUGGGCAUGUUUUCAGAAUCUCUAGAGAAAAUAGAUAUCAUCAACAAAUAGUAAGCAAACAGUGGAACGCACUGUGCAGGAGUGAAAAUUUGGCCCUUAAUUUUAUAUAUUUUAUUAUCACAGUCCAAUUUUCAUCCGCAGCUAACACUCCGGAAUUUAAAACAUAAAUUAUAUGGUAUGUAGCAGUUGGAAAUUCACCUGUCCAGGGUUACUAAAUACACAAGCUGAUUAUCAAAAGCAGUGAAAGGUUAAGUUAGAACAUGCAUUACCCUUUAAGAAAGCUGGAGAACUUGAGCUAUAAGGUAUAAAGUGUAGGUGAAGAUUCCACAGCUGUUCAUAUUUGUCCCAAUCUCCUUAAAGUGUAAAUCAUUACACAGGUGUACAAAGCAUUCUUGUGCUUUUGCAUUUCCAUUUAAUUUAUCAGUGGUAGCUCCGUGGAGGACAGAUUUGGAAAGAAACCAUGAAUGCAACACUUGAGCAGCUGGAGACUAUACUGUGCAGAAAACCACUUCUCUUUCACUUACUUCCCUCAUUCUCAGUAUUCAGCAUAAGGAUAAGAACAGCAGCGUAAUAAAGUCUCAUUUCCAUCGCAAAGAAAACGAAACCCAGCCUGCCCACUACACGGACCGGACGGCACAUCACCAGUAAAUACAGUCCCAGCACCAUCAUGUGGAAGAGAUCCGCAUAGCAUCCAGUAAAACUGAACCUCUAUGGUCCACAAACUGUAAUGAAAAGUACUGAAAUUUGUUUGAUGUUGCUAUUGAACAGCUAGAGGUAUUCAGCUCGGAUAAGGACAGUGGGACUCCCAGUGUUUGUGCUACAAUUACCCUUAGCAAUAGGAAAGAAACAUGAAGCCUCCCUCCCUCUCUUGCAUCUACCACUUUUCUUAGGACUAUAAGCUGACUGGCAGAGUAACUGGUUUUUUUAAUGUGUUACAAAACACCCACAGAAUGUGGGUACCACUUCACAAGUACCAGCAGAUUCACUUCUCAGAAUGCUGCAACCUUUGCCCUGCAAGAGUUGAUGGCUUUGGGAGAUUUAAAAAACAAACAUAAAUCAACACAAGUAAAUCAUGUGCUGUAAGGAUGUGACUGUAAGGAGGAAGUUCAUUUUUUUUUCUGUCCUCACUCACAGUCAUUUUGUGAAGUACAGAACUACAUACACUGAUUAUAUAUUUUUUUAUGUUUAAUGUUCAACGUUUUCCUAAUUGUAAUCUUUCAAAGGUGCCUCUACACUGAGUAAUGCAUGGUUUACAGUUCUGAAAUGCUUAAGGCUACCUUAACUUACCACAGAUCUUACUUCAGGUAGGUUAAAGAAAGUCAAUUUUCUCUCUCUCUCUC